CGGGGGGGGCAAGCGUUGUUCGGAAUUACUGGGCGUAAAGGGCGCGUAGGCGGCUCACUAAGUCGGAUGUGAAAACUCUGGGCUCAACCCAGAGCCUGCAUCCGAAACUGGUGGGCUAGGGUGCUGGAGGGGAAAGCGGAAUUCCUGGUGUAGCCGUGAAAUGCGUAGAUAUCAGGAGGAACACCGGUGGCGAAGGCGGCUUUCUGGACAGUAACCGACGCUGAGGCGCGAAAGCUAGGGGAGCAAACAGGAUUAGAUACCCUGGUAGUCCUAGCCCUAAACGAUGGAUACUUGCUGUGAGGGGGAUUGAAUCCCUUCGUGGCGAAGCUAACGCAUUAAGUAUCCCGCCUGGGGAGUACGGUCGCAAGGCUG
Molecule: ribosomal RNA, 372 nt
Filed under: uncultured organism
Description: bacterial SSU rRNA
Rfam family: Bacterial small subunit ribosomal RNA
Source: RNAcentral